This 492-nucleotide ribosomal RNA is filed under the name uncultured bacterium. RNAcentral's name for it is "partial 16S ribosomal RNA". It matches the Rfam family "Bacterial small subunit ribosomal RNA", at positions 29 to 507 of the family's 1533-position model. The record is from RNAcentral.
AGUGAACGCUGGCGGUAGGCCUAACACAUGCAAGUCGAACGGCAGCACAGUAAGAGCUUGCUCUUACGGGUGGCGAGUGGCGGACGGGUGAGGAAUACAUUGGAAUCUACUUUUUCGUGGGGGAUAACGUAGGGAAACUUACGCUAAUACCGCAUACGACCUACGGGUGAAAGCAGGGGAUCUUCGGACCUUGCGCGAUUGAAUGAGCCGAUGUCGGAUUAGCUAGUUGGCGGGGUAAAGGCCCACCAAGGCGACGAUCCGUAGCUGGUCUGAGAGGAUGAUCAGCCACACUGGAACUGAGACACGGUCCAGACUCCUACGGGAGGCAGCAGUGGGGAAUAUUGGACAAUGGGCGCAAGCCUGAUCCGGCCAUACCGCGUGGGUGAAGAAGGCCUUCGGGUUGUAAAGCCCUUUUGUUGGGAAAGAAAAGCAGCAGGUUAAUACCCCGCUGUUCUGACGGUACCCAAAGAAUAAGCACCGGCUAACUUCGUG